Molecule: long non-coding RNA, 1610 nt
Organism: Oncorhynchus tshawytscha (Chinook salmon)
Lineage: Eukaryota; Metazoa; Chordata; Actinopteri; Salmoniformes; Salmonidae
Source: Ensembl
AGGGGGUACAGGUUAGUAAUGAGACUAUAUACAGGGGGUACAGGUUAGUAAUGAGACUAUAUACAGGGGGUACAGGUUAGUAAUGAGACUAUAUACAGGGGUACAGGUUAGUAAUGAGACUAUAUACAGGGGGUACAGGUUAGUAAUGAGACUAUAUACAGGGGGUACAGGUUAGUAAUGAGACUAUAUACAGGGGUUACAGGUUAGUAAUGAGACUAUAUACAGGGGUACAGGUUAGUAAUGAGACUAUAUACAGGGGUACAGGUUAGUAAUGAGACUAUAUACAGGGGGUACCGGUACCGAGUCAGUGUGCAGGGCUACAGGUUAGUAAUGAGACUAUAUACAGGGGUACAGGUUAGUAAUGAGACUAUAUACAGGGGGUACCGGUACCGAGUCAGUGUGCAGGGCUAUAGGUUAGUAAUGAGACUAUAUACAGGGGUACAGGUUAGUAAUGAGACUAUAUACAGGGGGUACAGGUUAGUAAUGAGACUAUAUACAGGGGUACAGGUUAGUAAUGAGACUAUAUACAGGGGGUACAGGUUAGUAAUGAGACUAUAUACAGGGGGUACAGGUUAGUAAUGAGGCUAUAUACAGGGGGUACAGGUUAGUAAUGAGGUUAUAUACAGGGGGUACAGGUUAGUAAUGAGACUAUAUACACGGGGUACAGGUUAGUAAUGAGACUAUAUACAGGGGGUACAGGUUAGUAAUGAGACUAUAUACAGGGGGUACAGGUUAGUAAUGAGACUAUAUACAGGGGGUACCGGUACAGAGUCAAUGUGUGGGGGUACAGGUUAGUAAUGAGACUAUAUACAGGGGGUACCGGUACCGAGUCAAUGUGUGGGGGUACAGGUUAGUAAUGAGACUAUAUACAGGGGGUACCGGUACCGAGUCAAUGUGCGGGGGUACAGGUUAGUAAUGAGGCUAUAUACAAGGGGUACCGGUACCGAGUCAAUGUGUGGGGGUACAGGUUAGUAAUGAGACUAUAUACAGGGGGUACCGGUACAGAGUCAAUGUGCGGGGGUACAGGUUAGUAAUGAGACUAUAUACAGGGGGUACCGGUACCGAGUCAAUGUGUGGGGGUACAGGUUAGUAAUGAGACUAUAUACAGGGGGUACCGGUACCGAGUCAAUGUGUGGGGGUACAGGUUAGUAAUGAGACUAUAUACAGGGGGUACCGGUACCGAGUCAAUGUGCGGGGGUACAGGUUAGUAAUGAGACUAUAUACAGGGGGUACCGGUACCGAGUCAAUGUGCGGGGGUACAGGUUAGUAAUGAGACUGUAUACAGGGGGUACCGGUACCGAGUCAAUGUGCGGGGGUACAGGUUAGUAAUGAGACUAUAUACAGGGGGUACCGGUACCGAGUCAAUGUGCGGGGGUACAGGUUAGUAAUGAGACUAUAUACAGGGGGUACCGGUACCGAGUCAAUGUGCGGGGGUACAGGUUAAUAAUGAGACUAUAUACAGGGGGUACCGGUACCGAGUCAAUGUGCGGGGGUACAGGUUAGUAAUGAGGAUAUAUACGGGGGGGUACCGGUACCGAGUCAAUGUGCGGGGUUACAGGUUAGUAAUGAGACUAUAUACAGGGGGUACCGGUACCGAGUCAAUGUGCGGG